RNA transcript from Otolemur garnettii (small-eared galago), 952 nucleotides. It is a transcript of the gene named caspase recruitment domain family member 19, with no coding region annotated. The transcript is spliced from 6 exons. Lineage: Eukaryota; Metazoa; Chordata; Mammalia; Primates; Galagidae. The record is from RefSeq and is a predicted model, not a curated record.
CGCUAGAGAGGAGGGGCUCGCUGAGGGGCGUGGCUUAGAGUCCGGCGGCCGCACAGAGGACGCCGGGGGGCGGGGCCUAGCGGGAAGGGGCGGGCCGAGCACUGCCCGCGGGCGGCGGUCACUGAAGCGGGUGGGCCGGGCGGCUGACCUAGGGGCCGACGGGCGGCUGGGCGGACAGCUGUAGACUGCAACACGGCGCAGUGUCCGCCGCCAUGACAGAUCAGACCUACUGUGAUCGCCUAGUGCUGGACACGCCUUUCCUGACUGGCCAAGGGCGCCUGAGUGAGCAUCAGGUGGACAGGAUCAUCCUCCAGCUGAACCGUUACUACCCACAGAUCCUUACCAACAAGGAGGCGGAAAAGGUGCUGAGGAGUUCCGAAACCCCAAGGCAUCCCUGCGUGUGCGGCUCUGUGACCUUCUGAGCCACCUGCAACAGAGUGGUGAGCGGGACUGCCAGGAGUUCUACCGAGCCUUGUACAUCCAUGCCCAGCCCCUGCACAGCUGCCUGCCCAGCCGCCACACUCUGCAGAACUCAGAUUGUGCAGAGCUAGACUCAGGCAGCAAGCGCAACGAGCUGAGUGACAGGGGACCCAUAAGCUUCCUGGCUGGCCUCAGCCUGGCCGUAGGAUUGGCCCUCCUGCUCUACUGCUACCCUCCAGACCCCAAAGUGCUGCCCGGGGCCCGGCGCGUCCUUGGCUUCUCGCCCGUCAUUAUUGACAGACAUGUUAGCCGCUACCUGCUGGCCUUCUUGGCAGAUGAUCUUGGGGGACUCUGAUGGACCCAGAGCCCCCAGCUUUGCCUGCUGCUCAACCAAAGAAUCCCCCAGCUGGCCCACCGAGGGGGCCAGAGCUUCUUUUUCUAAAUGCUUAUUUUUCAUUAUUUAUAAUUUGUAUAAGAAGCAUACCUUCACCUUAAAAGGUGCUUAAUAAUAUUAAAUGUUCAAGUUCUCUCA